Molecule: long non-coding RNA, 2418 nt
Organism: Papaver somniferum (opium poppy)
Lineage: Eukaryota; Viridiplantae; Streptophyta; Magnoliopsida; Ranunculales; Papaveraceae
Exons: 7
Source: RefSeq, a predicted model, not a curated record
CGAAACUGAAAAACACACAGAGAAAAUAAAGCCUCCCAUAGUCUCCUUCGUGUUUAUCGAAACAAAACUUCCUCCUUAACUUUCCUUCCGACCUUAAACUCAAUCAGUUUCUUCAAUUCUUCAGAUUCUCUUUUCUUAGAUUUCAAGUUAAACUAAUUUAGUUUCAUCACAAAAUACUUCAAAUUUCUUCAGAAACCCAAAUUUUUAAAUAAACUGGAAUGGAAUCCAAAUCCAAAUAUAACUCAUAGAAAGUAAGAUUUGAUAUAACUGUAUAUCUACAGCUUCUGCUUUGAAUAGAGGGAUACAAAGAUUUGGUUUGAAACGGUGAAAACGGUGGUCGGUUGAUGCAUGGCAAAGGCGACCAUAAAAUGGAUUCAAUCAUCAAGAGAAGAAGAGGAUCAUCAUCAAAAGGCGUAGAAACCGAGAGUGGAGGAUAGCUACAGACGCGAAUCAGUCGAAGGAUUUGUGAAAGCUCAGCAAGAUGUAUUAGAAACAAUGCGAGUAUUGGGUCCAGCAUUCAUGAGAGUUAUUGAUGAGGCAGAGAUGGCUGCUGUUAGAGAAUAUGAAAGAAUUAAGUUUAGAUAUCAAAUUCCAACAAUUACAAAAAAUGGCCGUGAACACUUCAUUCGUAUAAGUUGUUUACUGUUGUUGACAACGAUGAUAUCUAUUUGGCUUUUCAAAUUAUUAACGGUGUUAAGGUAAGCUAUAUACGUUUGGGAUUUCUACAACUGUUCUUGGGUUUAAGAGUCAUCCUGGUGCUUGUUGAAAAAAAGUUAUUGCACAUUGUUGCAAGCUAAGGAAAGCUAACGCUGUUGAUGAGUUGGGGUGUAGCUUCAAGGUUGUUCGGAUGGUUCAUAAGGAACAACAUCUACUCCGGUCCAACCUGCAAAAGGAGAUAGAAAUUUAUGGAGAAUGUUUAAAGAAAUAUAAAGAGUCCAUUACAAAGGAUUGGGUAGGUUUGAAACUUCCCGUGGUUGAAGGGAAGGGAUACAAAGAUUCUUGAGAUGAAAGAAAAGUUUAAUGAUUUUGAGCUAUAGGUGAGCAAUGUAUAUAACCAGGUAUUGUGUACUCUGCUGGUAGUAUUAACUGUGGAUUUUAUUUUUUUCGGGCUAAUUUAUAUGUAAUUCGAGGUAAAAUCUUCUUUGCUGGUGCAUGCUGAAGGACUUAUGAAAGCUCAACAAAAUAUAAAAAAACAACAACGGGAGAAUUAGGUCUAGAUUUCAUAAGAGUUGUUGAUGAUGCGAAGAUGAUGGUUGUUGUCUGAGAAUAUGAAGAGUCAAGUGAUAGGCACACUAACUAGAUGUAUUACUACUUCCUUACCUGGGUCUUAUUGGUUUACGGGGAAAGCCUCACCAAUCUCUCAAUUCCAAGAAGUGCAACUGAAAACUCCAAUUAUAAGCCUGGUUCUUUGUUCUUGGUGCUAAGGUGUCGUAUUCAAGGUAAUAAAAUCUUAUUAAGCUAGACAUCAAGCUUGCCAGGAAACUAAGUCUUUUAGUGGUUGAGAAAUCUCCUUAGCCAUGCUUCAAAAAGGUAGUGCCUUCCCAUGAAGUGGAUAAAUAUAUUGUAUGUAAUCUUGAUACUUGCUGUUUUUAUGUGAAUUCUGUGCUUCUCCGGCUCAACUUACACUUUGUUUGUUUGCAGCUGACUCGGCGUCUGGGUCUGAGUCAACUUCUGACUCACGACGAGUCAGUAGUCAGACUGUUUGGUUUGAAUAAUUAGUAACUCCUGACUCGGCAUCUGAGUCAGAAGUAACUCCUGACUCGGGUCCUACUGAGUCAGUCAUGGAUUAGCCCCUGAGCCGAUGGCUCAAACACUCGCUAGAAUCGACCAAAAUGUCCUCAACGCUUUAUAUCAAAAAUUUUCUUUUUCAUUUCCUUCGUUUGUUCCGUCGAGAGCAGAGAUGGGAGACGAGGAAUCAAAACCUAGAUUUCUUCUCAACUGAUUUCUCUCAACAAAUCUACUAAUUUCUAUCUUCAUCGUCACUCUCAACUUAUCUCUCCAUCUCUUUUAAAUCACCUAAUGUUCUUUUAGAAGAAUCAUCAUCUUCAGGGGGAAGGAAAUAAGUAAGAGAGAAGAAGAUUAAAAUUUCGUGAAGAUUAUAAACCCGCCAAACCAUAAUAAACCCAAGCUGUAACAAUGAGGGGAAAUUGGACCACCUCUCUCACUCACCUGACUGUUUCCAGUUUCCUUCUCAUGUAUCUCUAUUGCUCCAUCUACCGUUUAGUGAAAUGACAAAUGUUUGAUUAUGAAGAGAAACAGUUGUGCUUGUUGUAUGUAAGCUAAACAAAUUAUGUAGUAUAUGUUAGGUAAGCAUAGUUGAAACCAUAUAAUUUUGAUGUUCUGUGAAUCUCAUUACCAUAACAUAUGCAGUUAUUGAGAACCCCGAUAUGAGCUAUUGAAAUCACUUGUUUUGUCUAA